Molecule: microRNA precursor, 125 nt
Filed under: Eucalyptus grandis
Lineage: Eukaryota; Viridiplantae; Streptophyta; Magnoliopsida; Myrtales; Myrtaceae
Source: RNAcentral
UGGAGAAGUAGACACGCGUGGUACUGAUCCGGCUCAUCUGUCGAUUCCUCGGUGGUUGUUGUGCGUGGCCGUCUUUCCACCGGCUGAAGGCGAGCCGAAUCAAUAUCACUCUUGUAUGCUUCUCC